GUGAUGGCACGCAGCGAUCACGCGCGGGGACGGCGGCGCGAUUUCGGGCGCUUGCCCGAGGUAGGGGAUGACCCCGACAGAUGGGCCCCACCUGUCAGGGGCUCAGGCGCGCGCGCACGGGCGGCUCGGUCGGUCGGGCCGGCUCGGCCGGUUCGGGGCCGGUGCGGCCCAAGCGGUCGGACCGGUCUGGUUCACCCCUUUUUUUUCUUUUCUUUUUCCCUUUUUCCUAUUUCUUUGAUAACUUUUGAUUUUGAACUCCAAAUUGGUCCAACUAAAUUUCAGAAAAUUUGUAAAAUCAUGUUCUAUCAUGAUACAACUUUUGGGAGUAGUUUCCCCUCAAAAUAAAAUAUAUAAAAAUACAUUUGCCUUAUAAAUGCCUUUAGGGCUAUAUAUCUAUUAAGUAAAAUACUUUUUCCACUCCAAAUAAUUACCCAAAAUUUUUGGGAUAGCUUAUAUAUGCAAUAAACCCCUUUUAUACUUAAACCUUAAUGGUUUGAAGAUCCAAAGCUCAAAUGGGUGUAAACCCUAGGGUUUAAAAUGAAAUAAAAAAUCUUUCCAAAGCCCUUUUGAGAUUCAAAUUUGAAUUCAAAUAUGCAAUUGUGGCAU
RNAcentral lists this long non-coding RNA (606 nucleotides) under Brachypodium distachyon (stiff brome). Its description in RNAcentral is "long non-coding RNA (BDIS_LNC002161)". Lineage: Eukaryota; Viridiplantae; Streptophyta; Magnoliopsida; Poales; Poaceae. The record is from RNAcentral.